RNAcentral lists this ribosomal RNA (301 nucleotides) under uncultured bacterium. RNAcentral's name for it is "partial 16S ribosomal RNA". It matches the Rfam family "Bacterial small subunit ribosomal RNA", at positions 509 to 807 of the family's 1533-position model. The record is from RNAcentral.
CAGUAGCCACGGUAAUACGUAGGGUGCGAGCGUUAAUCGGAUUUACUGGGCGUAAAGCGUGCGCAGGCGGCCCGUUAAGACAGGUGUGAAAUCCCUGGGCUCAACCUAGGAAUUGCGCUUGUGACUGGCGGGCUCGAGUACGGUAGAGGGGGGUGGAAUUCCUGGUGUAGCAGUGAAAUGCGUAGAGAUCAGGAGGAACACCGAUGGCGAAGGCAGCCCCCUGGGCCAAUACCGACGCUCAUGCACGAAAGCGUGGGGAGCAAACAGGAUUAGAGACCCCCGUAGUCCCUGUCUCUUAUAC